Enhydra lutris kenyoni (northern sea otter) is the source of this 705-nucleotide long non-coding RNA. RefSeq lists it as uncharacterized. NCBI's taxonomy places the organism in Eukaryota, Metazoa, Chordata, Mammalia, Carnivora, Mustelidae. The record is from RefSeq and is a predicted model, not a curated record. The transcript is spliced from 5 exons.
GAGCUGAAGACAGACGCUUAAUGACGGAGCCACCCAGGCGCCCCAUGGCAGAGUCCACUUUUGAGAGCUCCAGAAAUCGUCAAAACCUUCCAGCGACCAGAGGGAGGAGCUGAUGCUUUGCGGGACAUGUAUACGUCUAAGCAGCAUGGCUGACACAGACCAAACCCAUGCCGGUAAGCUUUCGAGAACCACUGAGUGUGCAGACAGUAGUGCUGGCCCAGGCAGGCAGAGGAAGAAUAAAUAGUGCUUGGGGGAGAGCAGUAGUGAUCGCCAGGGUACGUGAAGAUGCGGACGCUGUAGCAGGAACAACUCCCCAGUACUGACAUGUGCAAAGUUCCCGAUCUCCGGGACAGAGACAGCCCAGCCCAGCCCCACAGCAGGGGACAGACGAACGCCGGCACCUCAACCCGGAGAAAACUAAAGAAGCGGAGUUCAGGGUGGCUGGACUGGAACCCACGCACAGGGACCUCACUCAGCAGCAGCUGAAGCCCAAGACAGGCCGAAUGCUGCUGUUGGCUGUAGCAUUGGACAUGGCGGUCGUGUUCAGCUACGGAGAAGAAUGGGAGAAGAGAACACUUCGAACACGCUCAGUAGCCUGCCCGGCACCACAGAGGAAGGAACAGAGGAAAAAGUCCAAGAUGGGUUUCCAUGGCUCAGAGCUUUGAGGAGACCUGUGCUCUGCCAUCAACAUGGGGUUUGAACUCC